Non-coding RNA from Phoenix dactylifera (date palm), 2051 nucleotides. The record is from RefSeq and is a predicted model, not a curated record. Lineage: Eukaryota; Viridiplantae; Streptophyta; Magnoliopsida; Arecales; Arecaceae.
AGCACGUGUCUCACACAUGCUAAACUUCCGGUACCAGACUUGGCCUAUUCGCAGGAUCCAAAGAUUCAGAUCCCCAAGAUUCUACAAGCGGAAGCUUGAAUUCGGUUUCCAUCCAAAACCCUUUUUUCCCUUCUCCUGCGCCUCUCUCUCUCAACUCUUUACUCUCUCUCCACCUCUGAAACCAAACAAACCAAUCCAAGAGGAGCAGUCGUAAAAAGGCACAGAGAGAGCAUAAGAGCGAAAGAUAAGCCAAAAGGGCACAGAAAUUUAAAAGAAAUGGAGAGGAAGAAGAAGAAAAAAGCCCAGCAGAUAGAGAUAUAAAAAGAGGAGACGGAGAGACCGAGGUAAAGAGAAGAGAAAGAGGAGGAGAUGGGGGUGGACUACUACAAGAUCCUCGGAGUCGACCGGAACGCCAAGGACGACGACCUCAAGAAGGCCUACCGCAAGCUCGCCAUGAAGUGGCACCCCGACAAGAACCCCAACAACAAGAAGGACGCCGAGGCCAAGUUCAAGCAAAUCUCCGAAGCCUAUGAUGUUUUGAGCGACACGCAGAAGAGGGCGAUCUACGACCAGUACGGUGAGGAAGGGCUCAACGGGCAGGUGCCCUCGCCGAGCGGCGGGGCCUCGGGGUACCACGGCGGCGCCGCCCAGUUCCGGUUCAACCCCCGGAGCGCCGACGAGAUCUUCUCCGAGUUCUUCGGCUUCUCCGGCCCGUUCGGCGCGGCAGCCGGUGGGGGCAUGGGGGACGCCGCAGCAGGUGGAUCCCGCGGCGGCGGUGCUCGGUUCCCGGGAGGCAUCUUUGGGGAGGAUAUCUUCUCUGCGUUUGGCGGAGGGAGAAGGGGCGGGGAGGCGUCCGCCAGGAAAGCGCCGCAGAUCGAGCGGACGUUGCUUUGCAGCCUCGAGGAUCUGUACAAGGGGACGACGAAGAAGAUGAAGAUCUCGAGGGAUGUGAUGGAUUCCAAUGGGAGGCCAACUACUGUGGAGGAGAUUUUGACAAUUGAUAUCAAACCUGGCUGGAAGAAAGGUACAAAGAUUACAUUUCCAGAGAAAGGCAAUGAGCUGCAUAACUUAAUACCUGCAGAUCUGAUUUUCAUCAUUGAUGAAAGGCCUCAUGGUGUCUUUAAGCGGGAUGGGAAUGAUUUGAUUGUCACCGAGAAGAUCUCACUUGUUGAAGCUCUCACAGGUUACACUGUACAGCUGACAACUCUUGAUGGUCAAAAUUUAACCAUUCCCAUCAAUACCAUAAUCAGCCCCACUUAUGAGGAAAUCGUACAAGGUGAAGGGAUGCCGAUUACAAAAGAUCCAUCUAAGAAAGGGAACUUGAGGAUUAAAUUUCAAAUCAAGUUCCCCUCUAGAAUUACACCAGAGCAGAAGGCUGGCAUCAAGCGGUUGUUAGCUCCUUCUUGACUGGUGGAAAUUUAUGGCUUUAUGCUUUUUCUUUUUUGUAGUUUUGUUGAAAAUACAACUCUAUAUCGUGACUUUGUGGAGAAGUUCUAACAGUUGCAAGAUGGUAUUUAUUUGUAUUAACUGUAGCAGAACUGUCCUUACAGUUGGCUUACGAGUUGACAGUGUCUGAAGAAUUUGUUCCGUGUGAUUUUUUGACCCUGUGAAUUAGAGAGAAGAAUGACUCUUCUUUCAUGGUGCGUGAAUUGCCGCAGUGGAGCAUUUAGAACUAUGUGCGGAAGAAAAGAUGAUAUACUGCAAAUGUCAGGAAAUACCACAGAUUUUGGGAGCAUGGUUGGGUUGAAGGUACAGAAGGACUGAGGCAAAGCAGUUGGCAGAUACUUGUGGCCAUGCAGCUGGUGUAUGGUAGGAGCUUUGUUGAGGUGAGACAAAGGUACCCAUCCCAGCUGGCUGUGUCCUGAAAUUUGUUACAUGUAAAGAAGCAACAUACAUAUAGAAGAGCAUGGAGUCUUCCCUCAAGGACCAUUUUAGAAUGACCACGUAGAGUUUGAUAACAUUACUUGUAUAUUGCAUCAUUGGAUUUCUCCUAGCAAGUAACUAUAACCAACCUUUGCAAAAUGUUUUCUCCUCAAGUUUUAGUAGGUUUA